AUUGAACGCUGGCGGCAUGCCUUACACAUGCAAGUCGAACGGCAGCACGGGUGCUUGCACCUGGUGGCGAGUGGCGAACGGGUGAGUAAUACAUCGGAACGUACCUUAUCGUGGGGGAUAACGCAGCGAAAGCUGUGCUAAUACCGCAUACGCCCUGAGGGGGAAAGCGGGGGAUCGCAAGACCUCGCGCGAUUAGAGCGGCCGAUGCCUGAUUAGCUUGUUGGUGGGGUAAAAGCCCACCAAGGCGACGAUCAGUAGCUGGUCUGAGAGGACGAUCAGCCACACUGGGACUGAGACACGGCCCAGACUCCUACGGGAGGCAGCAGGGGGGAAUUUUGGACAAUGGGGGCAACCCUGAUCCAGCAGUGCCGCGUGAGUGAAGAAGGCCUUCGGGUUGUAAAGCUCUUUUGUCAGGGAAGGAACACCGGCUCUAACACAGUCUGGGAAUGAUGGUACCUGAAGAAUAAGCACCGGCUAACUACGUGCCAGCCGCCGCAGUAA
This 501-nucleotide ribosomal RNA is filed under the name uncultured bacterium. Its description in RNAcentral is "partial 16S ribosomal RNA". It matches the Rfam family "Bacterial small subunit ribosomal RNA", at positions 29 to 523 of the family's 1533-position model. The record is from RNAcentral.